RNAcentral lists this RNase P RNA (317 nucleotides) under marine eukaryotic metagenome. RNAcentral's name for it is "Bacterial RNase P class B". It matches the Rfam family "Bacterial RNase P class B". Rfam says of the family: Ribonuclease P (RNase P) is a ubiquitous endoribonuclease, found in archaea, bacteria and eukarya as well as chloroplasts and mitochondria. Its best characterised activity is the generation of mature 5'-ends of tRNAs by cleaving the 5'-leader elements of precursor-tRNAs. The record is from RNAcentral.
GGCAAUCGAGCCGAAAGGUUAGGAAAGUCCAUGCUAGCACAAGCUGAGAUGCUUGUAGUGAUUGUGAUAGAGGAAACCAUAACUCUAUGCACGUAAGUGACGGCUGAGAACACACCUGUUAAAUGGUGUUAGUAUCUUUAAAAGUGCCACAGAGACGAGCUGUCUUAGAAAUGAGGCAGGUGGAACGGGUAAACCCCGCAAGCUAGAAACCCAAAUUUGGUAGGGGCACUUCAAUCCUGUAAAUGAACGGGAGAGGAGACGCAUAACUGCGUAGAUAAAUGAUUGCCACCCGUAAGGGGACAGAACAUGGCUUAUAA